UAAUACUAAUAAUAAAUUAAAAAUUAUAACUGAUUUUAUUAACCCAAGAAAACAUGAAACAACAGAUCAAUUAGAACAAAUUAAAAUAAUAAAAAAUGUUAAUAGCAAUAACAAUUACAACAUUAGUAGUAAUAAAGAAUUAUAUUUAAAUGUAAAUUUAAAAAAACAUUUGAAAUUAAUUAAAGACAUGUUUAUUAAUUUAUCACAAAACAGGAAGUUAAAAUAUGGUAACAAUAGCAACAACUACACAUUGACAAAUAGUUUAAUGUUUAUAAAUGAAGAAAAGAAUGGCCCUUGUCGAUUUAAUUGGUUCCAAAAUGAUUAUAUAUAUUUUUUAAAAAAUGAGGAAAAUAACGAAUAUUAUAUAUCCAACAUCAAUGGAAUGUAUGAACUGUUCAUUUUGGUAACAAAAGAAUUAAAGAUUUUUGAUUCAUACGACUUCACUUGGUUUUUAAAAAAAUACAAGUUAAUAACUAUGUCACUAGUUCGUAAAUAUAGAAAAGAGUUAAAGAAAAAGUAUGAAUUUAUAAAACAAAAUGUAAAGGAUAAAAAUGAAGAAGGUGUAUAUAAGAGUGUUUGUUUGCAUAACAAAAUAGAUAAUUGUACUGUUGAUAAUGGUUUUUAUGAUAUUCUUGGUAACAUCAUAAAUGAUAAGGACAUAUCAUCCUCAUGUAAUGAUAUAAAUAAAGAAGGAUAUGAGAAAAUAAAAGAACCAGUGUAUGACAUGGUUAUUAUAAAAAGUAUUGACGAAGUAAAUCCUCCUUCGCCAAUUGAAUUUACUUUUAGAUUAUUAAAAAGAUAUAUAGAAGAGAAGAAAAAGAAAAAAAGUGUGUUACAAUUAAUAAAAGAAAAUAUGAUUCAAUAUACAGUAGCGUUAAAUUUACGAAUUGAAAAAAUUAUAAAAAAAAGAGAUGAAGAAUAUAUACUAAUUUUAAGUGAUAAUUUUGAUUAUAUAUAUUGUUUCAUAAAAGAUAUUUAUUUAAUUAACUUAAUACUUUCAAAUGUAAUUAAAGAAAGUUAU
This 1021-nucleotide long non-coding RNA is filed under the name Piliocolobus tephrosceles (Ugandan red Colobus). Its description in RNAcentral is "lncRNA (ENSPTEG00000014868.1)". The record is from RNAcentral. Lineage: Eukaryota; Metazoa; Chordata; Mammalia; Primates; Cercopithecidae.